Molecule: ribosomal RNA, 263 nt
Filed under: uncultured bacterium
Lineage: Bacteria
Description: partial 16S ribosomal RNA
Rfam family: Bacterial small subunit ribosomal RNA
Source: RNAcentral
GUCCACGCCGUAAACGGUGGGCGCUAGGUGUGGGGGCCAUUCCACGGUCUCUGUGCCGUAGCUAACGCAUUAAGCGCCCCGCCUGGGGAGUACGGCCGCAAGGCUAAAACUCAAAGGAAUUGACGGGGGCCCGCACAAGCGGCGGAGCAUGUGGAUUAAUUCGAUGCAACGCGAAGAACCUUACCUGGGUUUGACAUGCACCAGACGCUGGUAGAGAUAUCAGUUCCCUUGUGGUUGGUGUGCAGGUGGUGCAUGGCUGUCGU